GAUCAUGGCUCAGGAUGAACGCUGGCGGCGUGCUUGACACAUGCAAGUCGAGCGAUGAAGUUUCCUUCGGGAAAUGGAUUAGCGGCGGACGGGUGAGUAACACGUGGGUAACCUGCCUCAUAGAGUGGAAUAGCCUUUCGAAAGGAAGAUUAAUACCGCAUAACGUUGAAAGAUGGCAUCAUCAUUCAACCAAAGGAGCAAUCCGCUAUGAGAUGGACCCGCGGCGCAUUAG
This 232-nucleotide ribosomal RNA is filed under the name uncultured bacterium. RNAcentral's name for it is "partial 16S ribosomal RNA". It matches the Rfam family "Bacterial small subunit ribosomal RNA", at positions 15 to 244 of the family's 1533-position model. The record is from RNAcentral.